GAUCUGAGGCUAAGGCGGGCGUAUCGCUACCUUGGCAUGGUAGAGGCCGCGGGUUCAAAUCCCGCUCGGUCCA
This 73-nucleotide transfer RNA is filed under the name Methanoculleus thermophilus. RNAcentral describes it as "tRNA_Ala_GGC". It matches the Rfam family "tRNA", at positions 10 to 71 of the family's 71-position model. Rfam says of the family: Transfer RNA (tRNA) molecules are approximately 80 nucleotides in length. Their secondary structure includes four short double-helical elements and three loops (D, anti-codon, and T loops). Further hydrogen bonds mediate the characteristic L-shaped molecular structure. tRNAs have two regions of fundamental functional importance: the anti-codon, which is responsible for specific mRNA codon recognition, and the 3' end, to which the tRNAs corresponding amino acid is attached (by aminoacyl-tRNA synthetases). tRNAs cope with the degeneracy of the genetic code in two manners: having more than one tRNA (with a specific anti-codon) for a particular amino acid; and 'wobble' base-pairing, i.e. permitting non-standard base-pairing at the 3rd anti-codon position. Lineage: Archaea; Methanobacteriati; Methanobacteriota; Methanomicrobia; Methanomicrobiales; Methanomicrobiaceae. The record is from RNAcentral.